This 253-nucleotide ribosomal RNA is filed under the name uncultured bacterium. RNAcentral describes it as "partial 16S ribosomal RNA". It matches the Rfam family "Bacterial small subunit ribosomal RNA", at positions 524 to 776 of the family's 1533-position model. The record is from RNAcentral.
UACGGGGGGUGCGAGCGUUGAUCGGAAUAACUGGGCGUAAAGGGCACGCAGGCGGCCUUUUAAGUUAGGUGUGAAAUCCCCGGGCUUAACCUGGGAAUUGCAUUUGAUACUGGGAGUCUAGAGUACUUUAGGGAGGGGUAGAAUUCCACGUGUAGCGGUGAAAUGCGUAGAGAUGUGGAGGAAUACCGAAGGCGAAGGCAGCCCCUUGGGAAUGUACUGACACUCAUGUGCGAAAGCGUGGGGAGCAAACAGA